RNAcentral lists this ribosomal RNA (782 nucleotides) under uncultured Enterobacteriaceae bacterium. RNAcentral's name for it is "bacterial SSU rRNA". It matches the Rfam family "Bacterial small subunit ribosomal RNA", at positions 715 to 1502 of the family's 1533-position model. Lineage: Bacteria; Pseudomonadati; Pseudomonadota; Gammaproteobacteria; Enterobacterales; Enterobacteriaceae. The record is from RNAcentral.
GCGGAAGCGGCCUUUCUGGACAGUACUGACGCUGAGAUGCGAAGCGUGGGGAGCAAACAGGAUUAGAUACCUGGUAGUCACGCUGUAACGAUGUCGAUUUGGAGUUUGUUGCUAGAGUGAUGGGCUCCGAAGCUAACGCGAUAAAUCGACCGCGUGGGGAGUACGGCCGCAAGGUUAAAACUCAAAUGAAUUGACGGGGGCCCGCACAAGCGGUGGAGCAUGUGGUUUAAUUCGAUGCAACGCGAAGAACCUUACCUGGUCUUGACAUCCAUAGAAUUCUGCAGAGAUGUGGGAGUGCCUUCGGGAACUAUGAGACAGGUGCUGCAUGGCUGUCGUCAGCUCGUGUUGUGAAAUGUUGGGUUAAGUCCCGCAACGAGCGCAACCCUUAUUCUUUGUUGCCAGCGAUUUGGUCGGGAACUCAAAGGAGACUGCCGUUGAUAAAGCGGAGGAAGGUGGGGACGACGUCAAGUCAUCAUGGCCCUUACGACCAGGGCUACACACGUGCUACAAUGGCGUAUACAAAGGGAAGCGAAGGUGCGAGCUGGAGCGGAUCUCAUAAAGUACGUCUAAGUUCGGAUUGGAGUCUGCAACUCGACUCCAUGAAGUCGGAAUCGCUAGUAAUCGUAGAUCAGAAUGCUACGGUGAAUACGUUCCCGGGCCUUGUACACACCGCCCGUCACACCAUGGGAGUGGGUUGCACCAGAAGUAGAUAGCUUAACCGCGAGGGGGGCGUUUACCACGGUGUGAUUCAUGACUGGGGUGAAGUCGUAACAAGGUAACCA